AACGAACGCUGGCGGCAGGCCUCAAACAUGCAAGUCUAGGGGGUGUAGCAAUACAUCACCGGCGGACGGGUGCGUAACGCGUGGGAAUAUACCUAUCGAUUCGGAACAACUGAGGGAAACUUCAGCUAAUACCGAAUACGUCCUAACGGAGAAAGAUUUAUCGUCGAUAGAUUAGCCCGCGUUCGAUUAGCUAGUUGGUGGGGUAACGGCCCACCAAGGCGACGAUCGAUAGCUGUUCUGAGAGGAAGAUCAGCCACACUGGGACUGAGACACGGCCCAGACUCCUACGGGAGGCAGCAGUUGGGAAUCUUGGACAAUGGGGGAAACCCUGAUCCAGCCAUGCCGCGUGAGUGAUGAAGGCCUUCGGGUUGGUAAAACUCUUUCGCGCACGACGAUAAUGACGGUAGUGCGAGAAGAAGACUCCGGCUAACUUCGUGCCAGCAGCCGCGUAAU
RNAcentral lists this ribosomal RNA (453 nucleotides) under uncultured bacterium. RNAcentral describes it as "bacterial SSU rRNA". It matches the Rfam family "Bacterial small subunit ribosomal RNA", at positions 29 to 524 of the family's 1533-position model. The record is from RNAcentral.